UAAUGCGUAGGAAUCUACCUAGUAGUACGGAAUAGCCAUUAGAAAUGGUGGGUAAUACUGUAUAAUCCCCGAGGGGGAAAGAUUUAUCGCUAUUAGAUGAGCCUACGUUAGAUUAGCUAGUUGGUGAGGUAAUGGCUUACCAAGGCUAUGAUCUAUAGCUGGUCUGAGAGGACGAUCAGCCACACUGGAACUGAGAUACGGUCCAGACUCCUACGGGAGGCAGCAGUGGGGAAUAUUGGACAAUGGGCGAAAGCCUGAUCCAGCUAUGCCGCGUGAGUGAAGAAGGCCUUCGGGUUGUAAAACUCUUUCAAUAGGGAAGAUAAUGACG
RNAcentral lists this ribosomal RNA (328 nucleotides) under uncultured Ehrlichia sp. RNAcentral's name for it is "bacterial SSU rRNA". It matches the Rfam family "Bacterial small subunit ribosomal RNA", at positions 111 to 456 of the family's 1533-position model. The record is from RNAcentral. Lineage: Bacteria; Pseudomonadati; Pseudomonadota; Alphaproteobacteria; Rickettsiales; Anaplasmataceae.